AUUGAACGCUGGCGGCAGGCCUAACACAUGCAAGUCGAACGAGUGGCGGACGGGUGAGUAAUGUCUGGGAAACUGCCCGAUGGAGGGGGAUAACUACUGGAAACGGUAGCUAAUACCGCAUACCAUCGGAUGUGCCCAGUUGGGAUUAGCUAGUAGGUGGGGUAAUGGCUCACCUAGGCGACGAUCCCUAGCUGGUCUGAGAGGAUGACCAGCUACACUGGAACUGAGUCACGGUCCAGACUCCUACGGUAGGCAGCAGUGGGGAAUAUUGCACAAUGGGCGGAGGCCUAAUGCAGCCAUGCCGCGUGUGUGAAGAAGGCCUUCGGGUUGUAUAGCACUUUCAGCGGGGAGGCGUUACCCGCAGAAGAAGCACCGGCUAACUCCGUGCCAGCAGCCGCGGUAAUUC
Molecule: ribosomal RNA, 406 nt
Filed under: uncultured bacterium
Lineage: Bacteria
Description: partial 16S ribosomal RNA
Rfam family: Bacterial small subunit ribosomal RNA
Source: RNAcentral